Molecule: ribosomal RNA, 118 nt
Filed under: uncultured bacterium
Lineage: Bacteria
Description: partial 16S ribosomal RNA
Rfam family: Bacterial small subunit ribosomal RNA
Source: RNAcentral
GUACACACCGCCCGUCACACCAUGAGAGUUGGAAAUACCCGAAGCCUGUGAGCUAACUGUAAAGAGGCAGCAGUCGAAGGUAGAGCCAAUGAUUGGGGUGAAGUCGUAACAAGGUACC